UGCUAACUUUGACAGCAGUAGGCUAAAAUUGGAAUGAUACAGAAAAGAUGCAUGGCCCUUGCUUAGAGAUGACAUGCAAAUUCAUGAUGCAUUCUAAGGUCUC
Small nuclear RNA from Monodelphis domestica (gray short-tailed opossum), 103 nucleotides. NCBI's taxonomy places the organism in Eukaryota, Metazoa, Chordata, Mammalia, Didelphimorphia, Didelphidae. The record is from Ensembl.